GCGGUUGGGCUGACGCUCAAUGGGUGAGCAGAAGCGCCGCAAGCUAAGGUAAGGGUUCGAUUCCCUUCACCUGCUCCA
This 78-nucleotide transfer RNA is filed under the name Kordiimonas lacus. Its description in RNAcentral is "tRNA_Pseudo_CGC". Lineage: Bacteria; Pseudomonadati; Pseudomonadota; Alphaproteobacteria; Kordiimonadales; Kordiimonadaceae. The record is from RNAcentral.